Molecule: long non-coding RNA, 2194 nt
Organism: Podarcis raffonei (Aeolian wall lizard)
Lineage: Eukaryota; Metazoa; Chordata; Lepidosauria; Squamata; Lacertidae
Exons: 3
Source: RefSeq, a predicted model, not a curated record
AGGGAAAAAAGAAAAGAGAGGAGGGGAAAACCUUGCAUUUGCCACAAAUCCUCUUCGCUUGGCGCUUGUAAAACGAUCACAAAUCACACGCACUCGAUUUUAAUUCCUCCUGCGACCUCCCCUUUCUUUCCUCCCCCACCUUCAAACGAUUGCAUCAAGAGGGCGGGGAGGGGGGGACAGGGAAGCGAUCCGAAAUAAAUUAAAAAAUAAAAACUCGGAAGGAGCAGGAAAUAGCUGCAACGAAGGCACUAGAUUAUUUCUGAGAGCGGACAUAUUUUUGGCAACAAGCGGCUCCCCCCCCCCCAAAAGGUGCCAGUUUCCCUGCCUUGAAAACAACGGGGAAGGGAGGGGAGGAGGAGUUUGUGACUCCCAGUUGGGUAUUAUUGACACUAAUUUCGGUGUUGUUUUCUAGCCGUUGCGUGGAAAUGACACUCGUCUAUAGAUUUUUACAGUCAAAUGCCAGGCUUCAUAUUUUUUUUGUUCUCCCUCCCUCCCUCUCUUUCUCAAUAAUCUAAUUUUUUCCAGCUCCACCUUUGUUGUUAAGGGCGUCAUCUCCGGCUGCAGCCAAUCACCUGCUUUCAGAGUUGCCUGUCAAAUUAACGCCGAUUCCAAUACGCAAAAGCGACUUUUACAGACAGACCCGAAUGCAAUUAGGAGUUAUGGGUUGGAGAGGCGGGGAAGGGGCAGAGGGAGCUAAUCAGCGCGCCCGCCCUCGCCUCCCCCCACCCCCCGCGCAACCCGCGUUGAAAACGGGCCACCGCGGAUGAGCGGCGCUCGUCUGUUCUCCGUGAUGUUUUUCCAGUUGGAACCGGGAAUAAUUUCUCCGCUUCCCGGGAUCUCUGGGAUAGGGAGGCGUGUGCGUCACGUCUCCCUGUCUCUCAUACAGAACAUAGAAGUAUGUUCUAAUGAUGGGAACACAUUAACAGCAUCUGGUUUUCAAGAUGUCACCAAGCAUGGGGGUUGCACCACUUCUUAUCAUGGCUAGUAGACCUAGUAGCCGCCUCGAUGGCUUUACCCAGUUCUUCUCAAAAUAAACCUAUUCUAGAGACUAUCAGAACACAGCAAUGAGAUCCACGGGUGAAUUAAGGAUUUGUGAGAACAGAUCGUAUUCUACAUUUCAACAUUGUACACCUCCCUGAUAUUUCAUGAGAUGGCAGUAUAAAAAUACUUAUUUUGUAAGUAAAUAGUGUCUACUUUGAUCUCUAGACACCCCCAAAAUUGGAAUCUGUAUCAGAAGAACUCACCUACAAGAAUGGCCACCAGCAAGCCAGUGAUCCUUUGCUCCUUGACUUCCUGGACAUGGGCCUUCUCCCCUGGGACUGUAGUCUUGGACAUCACCGUCAGGGCAUUAGCAUGUGUGACAGUCCUCACUGUGGUGGCACUGAGCCAAGGUGCGCCGAAAAGGGGUGCGAUACCCCCCAAGCCAACAAUUAGAAGCAGGUCUAGAUGGAAACCUGAACCCUUCACCAGCUUCCUUUCAGGUUUGCUCACAAUCAGCCUGAAGAAGAAUAAGAAGAAGGGGGCAGGGAGGAAAUGAAGAAGAAAGUGGGUUGCGGGCAGCUAAAUCCUACACAGAGAGUAGAACCACGGAAAUUAAUAGUUUACCCAUGCCCAUUAUUUCUAAUAGGUCAACUCUGGGUAUAACUAGCAUUGGAUACAACCUAAUAUUUAUUUGACAUGAUUCUAUGACAGAUUGGACAUCCCAACAACCGUGAUAUAACUAAGCAUUGCUACCAGGUGACAACUCAAAGUGGCAUCUGCGUACAGGGACAUUGAUAGGGGCUGGCUCAAUUGUCCUAAGCUUUGGGUCUUUUAUGCCAGUGAGACUUGUAUUUGCCCAGAGGCACAUACAACAGCUGGGUGGAGAGGGGAAGGUAGUGCAUGCGUGUGUGAGAGAGUGAUCCUGUUUUCUUUUUAACAUGCCCAUAAGAAGCAUUUAUUGCCAAAGCAAUUCAGGUGGGAUGGAGGUGUCCAAUUCACAUAUAAGUAUACUGGGUGUAGAAAAUCACAUUGGCAUGCCAUAGCUCAGAGUAAGCCCUCACAGCAGGAGACAAAGCUUGUUUUUCUUCUCUGAGUUACGUUUGCAGCUAUGCUUAUAAAUUAGCAUAUGCAAAUGUUAUUCAAAUCUGUAUUGGUGUCUGCUCUUUCAACAAACCUGAUAAAAUAUUUAUCAAUAAACCUUUUUUGUUGUUUA